CCAAAACCGCUGUGUUCCAGAUAGUGACUACUCUGUCUGCGUGGGUCCUGGAGAGAGGAGGAUGCAGAGCACAGCACUUAGCCAACCUGCAAUGGACGCGUAGAAAAACUUCUAAAAUCAUCAUAUCACUGAAAAGGUUUCAAAACAAAGCCAUAAUCUCUAGAAAUGUGUCCUUGAUGGGUUGGUCUUCAUUUGCCUGAAGACUCAUCAUUCUAAGGAGGAUUUUGUGCUGCUCUUGUUUUGUUGCUGGGCCUAUCCUGUUUCCAUUCCCAAAUCAAGUAUUCCUGGAAUUUAAGGUAUCACUUUACCAGCCUGACCACAAGUUCUCCAUUGUUUCCUCUGCUCUGCUCACGCCCUGGAAUAAUGCCUCUCCCUGGAUACUAAAUUUACUGACCCUGCCUAGGACCCAGAGAAGAUUGCUGAGUCCUCAGCCCCUGCAUAUCUUCAAAAAGCCACCAACUGAGAGCUA
Molecule: long non-coding RNA, 469 nt
Filed under: Pongo abelii (Sumatran orangutan)
Lineage: Eukaryota; Metazoa; Chordata; Mammalia; Primates; Hominidae
Description: lincRNA
Source: RNAcentral